GGCGGACGGGUUGCUAUACUGCAGUCGAGCGGACAGAUGGGAGCUUGCUCCCUGAUGUUAGCGGCGGACGGGUGAGUAACACGUGGGUAACCUGCCUGUAAGACUGGGAUAACUCCGGGAAACCGGGGCUAAUACCGGAUGGUUGUUUGAACCGCAUGGUUCAGACAUAAAAGGUGGCUUCGGCUACCACUUACAGAUGGACCCGCGGCGCAUUAGCUAGUUGGUGAGGUAACGGCUCACCAAGGCGACGAUGCGUAGCCGACCUGAGAGGGUGAUCGGCCACACUGGGACUGAGACACGGCCCAGACUCCUACGGGAGGCAGCAGUAGGGAAUCUUCCGCAAUGGACGAAAGUCUGACGGAGCAACGCCGCGUGAGUGAUGAAGGUUUUCGGAUCGUAAAGCUCUGUUGUUAGGGAAGAACAAGUGCCGUUCAAAUAGGGCGGCACCUUGACGGUACCUAACCAGAAAGCCACGGCUAACUACGUGCCAGCAGCCGCGGUAAUACGUAGGUGGCAAGCGUUGUCCGGAAUUAUUGGGCGUAAAGGGCUCGCAGGCGGUUUCUUAAGUCUGAUGUGAAAGCCCCCGGCUCAACCGGGGAGGGUCAUUGGAAACUGGGGAACUUGAGUGCAGAAGAGGAGAGUGGAAUUCCACGUGUAGCGGUGAAAUGCGUAGAGAUGUGGAGGAACACCAGUGGCGAAGGCGACUCUCUGGUCUGUAACUGACGCUGAGGAGCGAAAGCGUGGGGAGCGAACAGGAUUAGAUACCCUGGUAGUCCACGCCGUAAACGAUGAGUGCUAAGUGUUAGGGGGUUUCCGCCCCUUAGUGCUGCAGCUAACGCAUUAAGCACUCCGCCUGGGGAGUACGGUCGCAAGACUGAAACUCAAAGGAAUUGACGGGGGCCCGCACAAGCGGUGGAACAUGUGGUUUAAUUCGAAGCAACGCGAAGA
Molecule: ribosomal RNA, 948 nt
Filed under: uncultured Bacillus sp.
Lineage: Bacteria; Bacillati; Bacillota; Bacilli; Caryophanales; Bacillaceae
Description: bacterial SSU rRNA
Rfam family: Bacterial small subunit ribosomal RNA
Source: RNAcentral